This 253-nucleotide ribosomal RNA is filed under the name uncultured bacterium. Its description in RNAcentral is "partial 16S ribosomal RNA". It matches the Rfam family "Bacterial small subunit ribosomal RNA", at positions 524 to 776 of the family's 1533-position model. The record is from RNAcentral.
UACGUAGGGUGCAAGCGUUGUCCGGAAUUAUUGGGCGUAAAGAGCUCGUAGGCGGUUAGUCACGUCGGCUGUGAAAACCUGGGGCUCAACCCCGGGCCUGCAGCCGAUACGGGCUGACUAGAAUUCGGUAGGGGAGACUGGAAUUCCUGGUGUAGCGGUGAAAUGCGCAGAUAUCAGGAGGAACACCGGUGGCGAAGGCGGGUCUCUGGGCCGAUACUGACGCUGAGGAGCGAAAGCGUGGGGAGCGAACAGG